CCUGCCCUCGAGAAAAGGAAUAACAGUUGGAACGACUGCUAAUGCCCUAUAUGCCUUUAAGACAUAAGUCUGCAAGGGAAAAUGCUUUUGUGCUCGAGGAUGGGACUGUACGGUAUCAGUUAGUUGGUGAGGUAAUGGCUCACCAAGACAAUGACGCCUAACUGGUUUGAGAGGAUGAUCAGUCACACUGGAACUGAGACACGGUCCAGACUCCUACGGGAGGCAGCAGUGGGGAAUAUUGCACAAUGGAGGAAACUCUGAUGCAGCAACGCCGCGUGGAGGAUGACACAUUUCGGUGCGUAAACUCCUUUUAUAUAGGAAGAUAAUGACGGUACUAUAUGAAUAAGCGCCGGCUAACUCCGUGCCAGCAGCCGCGGUAAUACGGAGGGCGCAAGCGUUACUCGGAAUCACUGGGCGUAAAGAGCGUGUAGGCGGAUAGAUAAGUCAGGAGUGAAAUCCUAUGGCUCAACCAUAGAACUGCUCUUGAAACUGUCUAUCUAGAAUAUGGGAGAGGUAGAUGGAAUUUCUGGUGUAGGGGUAAAAUCCGUAGAGAUCAGAAGGAAUACCGAUUGCGAAGGCGAUCUACUGGAACAUUAUUGACGCUGAGACGCGAAAGCGUGGGGAGCAAACAGGAUUAGAUACCCUGGUAGUCCACGCCCUAAACGAUGUUCACUAGUUGUUGUGAGGCUUGACCUUGCAGUAAUGCAGUUAACACAUUAAGUG
Molecule: ribosomal RNA, 723 nt
Filed under: uncultured Arcobacter sp.
Lineage: Bacteria; Pseudomonadati; Campylobacterota; Epsilonproteobacteria; Campylobacterales; Arcobacteraceae
Description: bacterial SSU rRNA
Rfam family: Bacterial small subunit ribosomal RNA
Source: RNAcentral